GACGAACGCUGGCGGCAUGCCUAAUACAUGCAAGUCGAGCGAACAGAUGAAGUGCUUGCACUUCUGACGUUAGCGGCGAACGGGUGAGUAACACGUAAGGAAUCUACCUAUAAGCGGGGGAUAACAUUCGGAAACGGGUGCUAAUACCGCAUAAUAUCUUCUUCCGCAUGGAAGAAGAUUGAAUGAUGGCUCUGCUUUCCCUUAUAGAUGACCUUGCGGUGCAUUAGUUGGUUGGUGGGGUAACGGCCGACCAAGACGAUGAUGAAUAGCCGACCUGGGAGGGUGAUCGGCCACAUUGGGACUGCGACACGGCCCAAACUCCUACGGGAGGCAGCAGUAGGGAAUCUUCCGCAAUGGGCGAAAGCCUGACGGAGCAAUGCCGCGUGAGUGAAGAAGGCCUUCGGGUCGUAAAACUCUGUAAUAAGAGAAGAACAAAUUGUAGAGUAACUGCUACAGUCUUGACGGUAUCUUAUCAGAAAGCCACGGCUAACUACGUGCCAGCAGCCGCCGUAA
This 513-nucleotide ribosomal RNA is filed under the name uncultured bacterium. RNAcentral describes it as "partial 16S ribosomal RNA". It matches the Rfam family "Bacterial small subunit ribosomal RNA", at positions 28 to 523 of the family's 1533-position model. The record is from RNAcentral.